This 1765-nucleotide long non-coding RNA is filed under the name Actinia tenebrosa (Australian red waratah sea anemone). RNAcentral's name for it is "uncharacterized LOC116303149". The record is from RNAcentral. Lineage: Eukaryota; Metazoa; Cnidaria; Anthozoa; Actiniaria; Actiniidae.
AAUACUUAUGCAGAAGUAGUAGAGUUUUCUUGACGUCAACGACUACGAAGUCGUUUAGAUGAAGGGCCUGAAACAAAAAGGCAAAGUCAUCGUUAGAGUACAUUUAAAAGCCCCCAGACCAGAGGUUAACUAUAUGCAUUAGCAAUUCUGUCAAGCCUACUUAGCACAUGUCUACUUGGCAAGAUCUCAUCUUUAAUUCCUAAAAACAAAAGCCAAAGGCACCUUGGUUCUAUUCCCGACUACAAGUGCAGAAUUUUCAAGAGAAUGUUUUUGACCGACUUGUAUGUUUAGCAAGAUUUGAGGAGCCCAUUAUUUACGAAGUUGAUGCCACCUAGGUCGCGACUGGCCCCCCACCUCGAGAUGGACAAAAUACGGUAAAUUGAGAUGCUGAUCGUUUGGCAAUGCGGGAACCCGUCAAAUCUUGAUUGUAAAACAGAUUCACUGCUUCCCGCCCUCACCGCAUCGACACCAAAUGUAUUAUAAAUUACUCAAGGACUAGAGUUCAUCUACGUCGUAAUAAAAAAGGAAAAGAAAAACUGUUAGUUUUGACCCUUAGCGAUGACAAGUUAAAGAAUUAAUUCUUUACCGAAAGAAAAAAAAUUACAUCACGUAGAAUUUUAUUAAUUCAACGCUGUACUUUUUUUUAAGGAGUUUCUUUUUUCACACCAUGAAUUAAUUUUUUUUGCGCAACAUUCGUUAGUUAUAGGAAAGGUUCUAGCAAGGUUAAAUUUUGAAAUCACAUAUCCUAUAAUUUAAAAACUAUUUAAAACUACUUAAUGGCUUGUGCACUAGUCUUCUUUCUCGCCACUCAAUUAUGCUCCACACUCGUAAAAUCUAAAUGGUUUGCGGAAUGUUUUCAUUUUAGUGUACGAUACUAUCGUAUUGAAUAAACUAAGGUAAGAUUUGUAUGCAUAGAGGGAAGUCAGGGUUAAAAAUACGAUCGCUUUGCUUAAUCGAGGGGAAAAUAUUGAUAGUAGUUAGGUGAAAAAAGAAGUCGGCAAUUUGGUCUGAAGUGGUAAAUAAAAAAUAAAAGUAGUUGCUGAAAUCUAAAGGGCAUAAAUCACUAUAGAACAUGAUUUUAUUGUUCGUGUUGAAANUGAUGGCCUUGUUCAAGCUAUUAUCAAGUCGCUUUAUAUUCAAUCCCUUAAAUUGUAUCUAAAGAAAGCGCUUUUGUCUGAAGCUAGAAUGGAUAUGUCUUCGAAAGAUAGAAAUCUUCAGUAGCCGAUAGCGCAGGGAAUCAAGCAGUCCAUUUUAUUACGCUACGAAAUGAAUCCUCCAUAUCUGCGCUAAUUUAAUUCUCUCCAAAUCCCUCGGGCAAGAAAACCUAGAACAAAUUAACCUGGCGAUAAUGUUUUAUUUCUUUUGUCCAAGUCAAAAGGUAAGGGUCUGAUCAUAUAAAUGAGUAUAGUAGUGGCAAACUGUCCUGUUUACAGCCGUGCACUUUUCUCAUCCAUUAACUUCUCCUUGACUGGUUUUAACACGCUUCUAAUUACACUAAAAACCGCGAUCAGGUUGGUAAAAAGUGCUAUCUUUGCUUACGCAGCUAAACAAAUUGUACCCAUAUAUACAGGUUCGGAGUGCAUCAAAUAAUUUGGAUUAAUUAGGAUGGUGCUGUAGCUCCUUUUUAUUCUUAAUUCGGAAAGAUUACGUUUCAUUUUCGUUUUAUAAUUCACCGUCAUUUUCCGGCCAUGACUCUUUUAGAAGCUUGUUCAACAUAAACUACACCAUUGAUUCUGGAAUUUACUUCAAUAAAAACUACACUAAC